RNAcentral lists this long non-coding RNA (271 nucleotides) under Musa acuminata (dwarf banana). RNAcentral describes it as "long non-coding RNA (MACU_LNC010836)". Lineage: Eukaryota; Viridiplantae; Streptophyta; Magnoliopsida; Zingiberales; Musaceae. The record is from RNAcentral.
AUAUUAAUGUGGAUAGUAUUAUGCCUCCCUUCAUAUUAACUUAUAUACAUACAGAAUGCUCAUGCUUUGAAAGGUCUGUUCACAAAAGUCUCGGAACAAAAAAUUAUCUGUGUAGAUGUAUGAGGUCAAUUUCAAUAGUGUUUUGGAUGAUUUCUACUAGUAAUUGGCUUAUGGAAAUGUCUUUAUUUACCUUAUUUUUCUUGCUUUACAUAAUAGGGUACCAUCACCACAUUUGUCACCUUUUGUUGACAAUGAGGCUGAAGGUUAUAUU